CCUACGGGUGGCAGCAGUGAGGAAUAUUGGUCAAUGGACGCAAGUCUGAACCAGCCAUGCCGCGUGCAGGAAGACGGCGCUAUGAGUUGUAAACUGCUUUUGUACGAGGGUAAACGCAGACACGCGGAUCUGUCUGAAAGUACUGUAAGAAUAAGGAUCGGCUAACUCCGUGCCAGCAGCCGCGGUAAUACGGAGGAUUCGAGCGUUAUCCGGAUUUAUUGGGUUUAAAGGGUGCGUAGGCGGUCGGAUAAGUUAGAGGUGAAAUCCCGGGGCUCAACUUCGGAAUUGCCUCUGAUACGGUUCGGCUAGAGAGUAGUUGCGGUAGGCGGAAUGUAUAGUGUAGCGGUGAAAUGCUUAGAGAUCGUACAGAACACCGAUUGCGAAGGCAGCUUACCAGGCUACUUCUGACGUUGAGGCACGAAAGCGUGGGGAGCAAACAGGAUUAGAUACCCCUGUAGUC
Molecule: ribosomal RNA, 460 nt
Filed under: uncultured bacterium
Lineage: Bacteria
Description: partial 16S ribosomal RNA
Rfam family: Bacterial small subunit ribosomal RNA
Source: RNAcentral